GGCUUGCAGGGGGAGCUCCCUUCAAUUCAACUGAGGUCGGUGCGUCGCUGUUACUCGCUGCUGACUCAUGCAUUCGCCUGACAUGCCCGCAACCAUCAUCAGAUCGUGAUCAGGACACGCCGAAAACAUGCCCGUGAUCACCUCCGCAACUCUCUGAUCUCGGCGAGGUUGAUCACAGAAUCCCCCGAGUUUGAGGCAUGGCAGCCGUGUGCAUGAUGCAGGAGCAGGUGCGGCUUCGGCUCUGAACUUCCCUUGGAUUGAAGGGAGCUCCCUUUCAGAUUCAC
Molecule: microRNA precursor, 284 nt
Organism: Selaginella moellendorffii
Lineage: Eukaryota; Viridiplantae; Streptophyta; Lycopodiopsida; Selaginellales; Selaginellaceae
Rfam family: MIR159 microRNA precursor family
Source: Rfam